RNAcentral lists this long non-coding RNA (1226 nucleotides) under Macaca mulatta (Rhesus monkey). Its description in RNAcentral is "lncRNA (ENSMMUG00000052990.1)". The record is from RNAcentral. Lineage: Eukaryota; Metazoa; Chordata; Mammalia; Primates; Cercopithecidae.
CUUCAGUCACUAAAAUAUUUGAAAUGCUACAAAAUAUUUAUAUAAACUAUUAUUUAACCAUUUCUGUUUGUAGAGUGCCAUACAGUAAUCAUUAUAGAUGACAUCUCAAGUCUUUCUAUAGCUUUAACCACAUUUAUCUCCUAAUUUUAAUUAUUAGUAUGUUGAAGCAGUGCAUACAACUAGAUUCUGACCCUCCUAUUUAAUGAGUAAAAAUAUGUCCUCUGAAACAGCGUUAAAGAAAGAGCACCUUGUAUGAAUUCAAUGCCAAGAGACAAGAUAUUCUUGAUUCUGAAGUUUUGUUAUUUCAUACAGCAAUGUAAUUAAUAAUAAGAAGAAAGCAGGACAUAGGUGUGGAGUCUAUUUUAAUCAAAAUUGUCUACAGAUUUUGAUAAUGAAAUUUAAAAAUUACUAUAUUUAGUUAGUUCCAAAUAACUAGGUUGUGGGACCAUAUUUGUUUAAUAAAACACCCCUACUAAAUGCUGGAAAAAAAAAGUUAGGUACCACCUUUCUUCUCUGCAGAUAGCCUGAGAUGGGUUAAUUUGAAGAAUGCUUCCAAACCUGAGGUGACCCCUGAGAACAGCAUAGUUCACUGCUGUCUCCUACAUUCAGUUUCUCAGUUUGUGCUCUUUUAAUUUCGGGGGGAGGGAAGCCAGUCCUUUAAACUGAUCUUCAGCAUGAUGGCAGAGCCAAGGAGUGUGGACAGGUGGCACGGUCUGUGACCUUGUUCCAGCAGCCACUUGGGCUUUCUCCGGGUCUUCUUCGCCCUAGGGAUAGCAUUAUUACUGGAAACAUGUCUUUGUGACGUUCUCUAUGCCAGGAACUCCCGAUGCAUUUUCCUUGAAACUGAUGAAAUGAAUAAAAAUAAACCAUGAGGUGUGCUGUUUGUUUCUGUUUCCUCCUUUCUGCAGCCCUUCUUGAUCAUCUAAUAUUUUAAAUACAUUGUCGAUCACCAAAAGGAGCAUAAGGGGUAUAUUGAUUUGUACCGGAUGCCCAGCCCCUUUCCCUUACCUGUAGCUGCUCGGAAGAAAACCAUUGUUAACACUCUACAAGGUCUCAUCUCCAGUAUUUGCACCUGUUUCUACCUGAGGACUUUCUCUAGCAGCAUGGGAGCUUAUUACUGGGCAUGGAGUGGGAAGAAGAGGAAAGGAAAUAACAUGUACAGUUGAACCUUAAGCAACACGGAGGUUAGGGGUGCUGGCCCCCUUGCACCAUAGAAAAUCCACUAC